GUAGAUAUAGUUUAAUUUAAAAAUAUCGGACUGUGAAUCCGAAGAUAGAGACUCACCCACCUCUUAUCU
This 69-nucleotide transfer RNA is filed under the name Monopeltis sphenorhynchus. RNAcentral's name for it is "tRNA-His". It matches the Rfam family "tRNA". From Rfam's summary of the family: Transfer RNA (tRNA) molecules are approximately 80 nucleotides in length. The record is from RNAcentral. Lineage: Eukaryota; Metazoa; Chordata; Lepidosauria; Squamata; Amphisbaenidae.